CAGUGAAAUUGAACUCGCUGUGAAGAUGCAGUGUACCCGCGGCAAGACGGAAAGACCCCGUGAACCUUUACUAUAGCUUGACACUGAACAUUGAGCCUUGAUGUGUAGGAUAGGUGGGAGGCUUUGAAGCGUGGACGCCAGUCUGCGUGGAGCCAACCUUGAAAUACCACCCUUUAAUGUUUGAUGUUCUAACGUUGGCCCCUAAUCGGGGUUGCGGACAGUGUCUGGUGGGUAGUUUGACUGGGGCGGUCUCCUCCCAAAGCGUAACGGAGGAGCACGAAGGUUAGCUAAUCCUGGUCGGACAUCAGGAGGUUAGUGCAAUGGCAUAAGCUAGCUUGACUGCGAGCGUGACGGCGCGAG
Molecule: ribosomal RNA, 360 nt
Filed under: Klebsiella quasipneumoniae subsp. similipneumoniae
Lineage: Bacteria; Pseudomonadati; Pseudomonadota; Gammaproteobacteria; Enterobacterales; Enterobacteriaceae
Description: partial 23S ribosomal RNA
Rfam family: Bacterial large subunit ribosomal RNA
Source: RNAcentral